UCCUCGUUUAAGCGAGGCAGUCUGUCCAGAGUGCUUCCCGCUCUCGCGGGAGUCGCAACAGGACACAAGGGUUGCGCUCGUUGCGCCACUUAAGGCAACACCUCACGGCACGAGCUGACGACAGCCAUGCACCACCUGUGCAGGCUCCGUAGAGCACCGGCUUUCACCGGUUUCACCCUGCAUGUCAAGCCCUGGUAAGGUUCUUCGCGUUGCGUCGAAUUAAGCCACAUGCUCCGCUGCUUGUGCGGGCCCCCGUCAAUUCCUUUGAGUUUCAUUCUUGCGAACGUACUCCCCAGGUGGGUUACUUAUCACUUUCGCUUAGCCACUCAGUCUUACGACCAAACAGCUAGUAACCAUCGUUUACGGCGUAGACUAC
Molecule: unclassified non-coding RNA, 376 nt
Filed under: uncultured bacterium
Lineage: Bacteria
Description: contains 16S-23S intergenic spacer region
Source: RNAcentral